CCUACGGGGGGCUGCAGUGGGGAAUAUUGGACAAUGGGCGAAAGCCUGAUCCAGCCAUGCCGCGUGUGUGAAGAAGGCCUUCGGGUUGUAAAGCACUUUCAGUAGGGAAGAAAGCCUUGGGGCUAAUACCCUCGAGGAAGGACAUCACCCACAGAAGAAGCACCGGCUAACUCCGUGCCAGCAGCCGCGGUAAUACGGAGGGUGCGAGCGUUAAUCGGAAUUACUGGGCGUAAAGCGCGCGUAGGCGGUCUGAUAAGCCGGUUGUGAAAGCCCCGGGCUCAACCUGGGAACGGCAUCCGGAACUGUCAGGCUAGAGUGCAGGAGAGGAAGGUAGAAUUCCCGGUGUAGCGGUGAAAUGCGUAGAGAUCGGGAGGAAUACCAGUGGCGAAGGCGGCCUUCUGGACUGACACUGACGCUGAGGUGCGAAAGCGUGGGUAGCAAACAGGAUUAGAUACCCUAGUAGUC
RNAcentral lists this ribosomal RNA (465 nucleotides) under Vreelandella stevensii. Its description in RNAcentral is "partial 16S ribosomal RNA". It matches the Rfam family "Bacterial small subunit ribosomal RNA", at positions 338 to 795 of the family's 1533-position model. The record is from RNAcentral. Lineage: Bacteria; Pseudomonadati; Pseudomonadota; Gammaproteobacteria; Oceanospirillales; Halomonadaceae.